RNAcentral lists this long non-coding RNA (304 nucleotides) under Elaeis guineensis (African oil palm). RNAcentral's name for it is "long non-coding RNA (EGUI_LNC058023)". Lineage: Eukaryota; Viridiplantae; Streptophyta; Magnoliopsida; Arecales; Arecaceae. The record is from RNAcentral.
CAGGUGGACUUCAUCCGAGCUCCUACGGGAGCCAGACUUCCGUCCUGAACUCCUGUUGCAGGUAGACCUCAUCCGAACUCCUACAAGGGUUGGACUCCGAGCUUCUACUGCAAGCGAUCUACUCCGAGCUUCUACUGCAAGCGAUCUACUCCGAGCUUCUACUGCAGGCUUCGACUGAGCUUCCUCGACAAAUGAUCCCCAUCUGGGCUUCUACAGAGAUCGGACUCUGACCAAACUUCUGUAGCGGACAGAUUUCGGACGAACUCCUAUGACACAUGGACUCCAGCAGCCAGACCCCUCCAGC